CAGUACCCUUGGUUAACCACUGGAGGACUGUCCCUUGUUCACGUGAAGGCAUUGGGCGGUGUCUGCCUUCUCUUGAAAGUAGCUGUCCAGUCCUGCUUUACGUCGCACGUACUACUAUGACGGGGACGGUCGUAUGUGCUGUUAUUUAUUUGCGACACACCCCUAACGCGAUGGUGGUCUACAAAAUGAAAAAAACGGCUGGAAUGAAGACAGGAAGGUUGUGUGCUCAGGGAAAGAUUUCCAAGUACCUGUCUUCUCAAGGUCGAGGAUUGUGACAUUCACUCCCAGCUCACCCCCUGGAUCUAAGAAAGUACUGCUGGAGAAUAAUAUUGUAAAGGAUCCAAGGUAUGAAUGGACCCGUGACCAGACUCUACUGGUGAGGGAGGUCACCCACCGGGACCAGGGAGUCUAUGCUGUCAAAUUUUCCCAUGGUUUUACCGUCGAGAGAGUCGAGCUCGUUGUCUCAGGUCUGUGUGCCUUGCACGUUAAGUCGUGGAAUGUGAUUUUUGUGAGCAAAAAGGAGGACGCUAUCUUUUGUGUCCUUCUCUCUUUCUGUGUCCCUCACUUUUUGCACUUUUUUCUUGUCAUAUUUCAGAAUGCAUUAGGAAGUUCCAUAAACAAUAUGGAGACACCUUUAAACUGGACAUCCCACAGGAUGGAGCCAUUCUGGAGUUAAACCCCUUCGCCCCCCUAUCUCUCCCUCCCACAUCUUCUCCUUCCCCCUCUCCCUCUCCUUCCUCUCUGUCCCCCCCUCUAUCCCCCUCUCCCUCUCCUUCUUCCUCUCUA
Molecule: long non-coding RNA, 786 nt
Organism: Clupea harengus (Atlantic herring)
Lineage: Eukaryota; Metazoa; Chordata; Actinopteri; Clupeiformes; Clupeidae
Source: Ensembl